GUCGAACGAGAACCCCGCAAGGGGGGAAAGUGGCAAACGGCGUAGUAAGGCGUAGGUGACGUGCCCCGGGGUCCAGGAUAGCCAUGGGAAACCGUGGGUAAUACUGGAUGAUCCCGUUGGAUCGAGAGGUCUGACGGGCAAAGGUGUGAUUCCGUCCUGGGAGCGGCCUGCGUGGUAUUAGCUUGUUGGUGAGGUAACGGCUCACCAAGGCAACGAUGCCUAGGGGGUGUUAGCGCAUGACCCCCACGACUGGGACUGAGAUACUGCCCAGACACCUACGGGUGGCUGCAGUCGAGAAUCUUCGGCAAUGGGCGCAAGCCUGACCGAGCGACGCCGCGUGCGGGAUGAAGGCCCUUGGGUUGUAAACCGCUGUCAGAGGGGAUGAAGUGCCGGCAGGCAAUCCUGUCGGUUUGACAUAGCCUCAGAGGAAGCACGGGCUAAGUUCGUGCCAGCAGCCGCGGUAAUACGAACUGUGCGAACGUUAUUCGGAAUCACUGGGCUUAAAGGGUGCGUAGGCGGCUAUUUAAGUAGGGUGUGAAAGCCCCCGGCUCAACCGGGGAAUUGCGUCCUAAACUGGAUAGCUGGAGUGGGAUAGAGGUGUGUGGAACUUCCGGUGGAGCGGUGAAAUGUGUUGAUAUCGGAAGGAACGCCGGUGGCGAAAGCGACACACUGGGUCUCAACUGACGCUGAGGCACGAAAGCCAGGGGAGCGAAC
RNAcentral lists this ribosomal RNA (714 nucleotides) under uncultured Planctomycetota bacterium. RNAcentral's name for it is "bacterial SSU rRNA". It matches the Rfam family "Bacterial small subunit ribosomal RNA", at positions 61 to 773 of the family's 1533-position model. The record is from RNAcentral. Lineage: Bacteria; Pseudomonadati; Planctomycetota.